GUGUGCUCACCCUUCCUCUGUCUCUUUCUAUAGCUUUCUCUGGGUCGUCUGUUGCUGUCUCUCGUCUGCCCUGAUCUGUUGCUGUCUCUUAGUAUUCUAUGUUGCUGUCUCUUGUUUACUUUCCUCUCUCGUCCCCCCCGGUUGUAAAAUGUGUAAAAGUAAACAAUUGUUUUAAUAGUAAUUUCACAGGCUUUUUCACCUCACCAGCAAAUUCUUUGUAAACCAUGUUUUACUUUUUCACGGUCUGUAUUUCACCUCUUAUAAUUUGUGCAAAUAAAUCCAACUCAUUAGAAUCUAUAGAGCAGCUUGAAGUGAUACAGACUACUGUGUGCUUAACCCACCUCUGUUCUCUCUCCAUCUGCAUUCUUCUGUCACUUUCUCUGUGUUUUGCCUGUUGCUGUCUCAGUGUCUUGUUUGUUACUGUCUCCUUUGUCUAUCCUCUUCUGUUAUGGCCUGUUCUGUUCUUCUGGUGUCUCUCUCCAUCAUAUCAUAUUCUUCUGUUGCUGUCUCUAUGUCUCUUCUGGUUUCUCUCUCAAUCGCCUAUUCUUCAGUUGCUGUCUCUGUGUCUUGUCUGGUGUGUCUCUAUGCUUCUCUUCUGUUGCUGCCUCUGUGUCUCGUCUGGUGUCUCUCUCCAUCAUCUAUUUUUCUGUUGUUGUCUCUGUGUCUUGUCUCACGUGUCUCUUUAGCUGUGCAAUCCAAAACGGUCAAGGAGAUACUGGGGUAGCUUAACUUGUUUCGGGCCUGUGUUUUGGUGACCUAAAUCAUCCUCUUCCCUACCUCUGGCUGCUCCUGUUCUAAGUGCUCCAGUGGCCUGCUGUUCUCAUUUAUCCUCCUUUGCUCAUCUGAAAGGUAGCAAGGUAGAAUUUUAAAGGGUGACUGCACUUCCUGAUUUGGCCUCGUUUUAGAUGUGGUUCAUUAAGUGUGUGGUUUGAUGUGGGUUCUUGUGUGUGUGUUCACAGGUGAGAAUAGUUAGCUAAAGUAUUUUUACUUAAGUACUUUAUAUCACUGGAUAAAUAUUGUCCAACUGCAUGAACUUUACAACAACCAUGUGAUCAAAGGUCAUGAAGUUUAGACUGCAGUCAACUUACAUUGGCUGUGGUUCAAACUCAUAAAAGACACACCCUCGUCUUAUGCCCUUGGAGAAAUCCU
This 1149-nucleotide long non-coding RNA is filed under the name Salmo salar (Atlantic salmon). Its description in RNAcentral is "lncRNA (ENSSSAG00000101326.1, ENSSSAG00020076974.1, ENSSSAG00075050647.1)". Lineage: Eukaryota; Metazoa; Chordata; Actinopteri; Salmoniformes; Salmonidae. The record is from RNAcentral.